UUGCUGAUCACACAGUCCUAGCACUGGUGACAUAUCUUUCAAGUGUCUGCCCUAUCAACUUUCGAUGGUAGUUUAUGUGCCUACCAUGGUGGUAACGGGUAACGGAGAAUAAGGGUUCGACUCCGGAGAGGGAGCCUGAGAAAUGGCUACCACAUCCAAGGAAGGCAGCAGGCGCGCAAAUUACCCACUCUCAGCUUGAGGAGGUAGUGACGAAAAAUAACAAGACAGCUCUCUAUGAGGUCUGUCAUUGGAAUGGGUACAAUUUAAACCCUUUAACGAGGAUCUAUUGGAGGGCAAGUCUGGUGCCAGCAGCCGCGGUAAUUCCAGCUCCAAUAGCAUAUACCAAUUCUGUUGCUGUUAAAAAGCUCCUAGUUGGAUCGUUGCCAAAGAAUGAGU
Molecule: ribosomal RNA, 396 nt
Filed under: Nematoda sp. YAMAG2018
Lineage: Eukaryota; Metazoa; Nematoda
Description: SSU rRNA
Rfam family: Eukaryotic small subunit ribosomal RNA
Source: RNAcentral